This 1018-nucleotide ribosomal RNA is filed under the name uncultured bacterium. RNAcentral describes it as "bacterial SSU rRNA". It matches the Rfam family "Bacterial small subunit ribosomal RNA", at positions 357 to 1376 of the family's 1533-position model. The record is from RNAcentral.
AGGAAUAUUGGUCAAUGGACGAGAGUCUGAACCAGCCAAGUAGCGUGAAGGAUGAAGGUUCUAUGGAUUGUAAACUUCUUUUAUACGGGAAUAAACGGAUCCACGUGUGGAUUUUUGCAUGUACCGUAUGAAUAAGGACCGGCUAAUUCCGUGCCAGCAGCCGCGGUAAUACGGAAGGUCCGGGCGUUAUCCGGAUUUAUUGGGUUUAAAGGGAGCGCAGGCCGUCCUUUAAGCGUGCUGUGAAAUGCCGCGGCUCAACCGUGGCACUGCAGCGCGAACUGGAGGACUUGAGUACGCACGAGGUAGGCGGAAUUCGUGGUGUAGCGGUGAAAUGCUUAGAUAUCACGAAGAACUCCGAUUGCGAAGGCAGCUUACCGGAGCGCAACUGACGCUGAGGCUCGAAAGCGCGGGUAUCGAACAGGAUUAGAUACCCUGGUAGUCCGCGCGGUAAACGAUGGAUGCCCGCCGUUGGGAUUUGGAUUUCAGCGGCCAAGCGAAAGCGUUAAGCAUCCCACCUGGGGAGUACGCCGGCAACGGUGAAACUCAAAGGAAUUGACGGGGGCCCGCACAAGCGGAGGAACAUGUGGUUUAAUUCGAUGAUACGCGAGGAACCUUACCCGGGCUUGAAUUGCAGGAGAACGAUCCAGAGAUGGUGAGGCCCUUCGGGGCUCCUGUGAAGGUGCUGCAUGGUUGUCGUCAGCUCGUGCCGUGAGGUGUCGGCUCAAGUGCCAUAACGAGCGCAACCCCUGUCCAUAGUUGCCAUCAGGUCGUGCUGGGCACUCUGUGGAGACUGCCGCCGUAAGGUGUGAGGAAGGUGGGGAUGACGUCAAAUCAGCACGGCCCUUACGUCCGGGGCUACACACGUGUUACAAUGGGGCAUACAGCGAGUUGGAUGUGCGCAAGUACGUCCGGAUCAAUAAAGUGCCUCUCAGUUCGGACUGGGGUCUGCAACCCGACCCCACGAAGCUGGAUUCGCUAGUAAUCGCGCAUCAGCCAUGGCGCGGUGAAUACGUUCCCG